UUGGAGGGCAAGUCUGGUGCCAGCAGCCGCGGUAAUUCCAGCUCCAAUAGCGUAUAUUAAAGUUGUUGCAGUUAAAAAGCUCGUAGUUGAAUUUCGGGGUCAGUAGGUUGGUCAUGCCACUGGUAUGUACUGGUCUCACUGAUUCCUCCUUCCUGAUGAACUGUAAUGCCAUUAAUUUGGUGUUGCAGGGAAUCUGGACUGUUACUUUGAAAAAAUUAGAGUGUUUAAAGCGGGCUAUUGCUUGAAUAGAUUAGCAUGGAAUAAUAGAAUCGGACGUUGUGGUUCUAUUUUGUUGGUUUCUAGGACCACCGUAAUGAUUAAUAGGGAUAGUUGGGGGCAUUAGUAUUCAAUUGUCAGAGGUGAAAUUCUUGGAUUUAUUGAAGACUAACUAUUGCGAAAGCAUUUGCCAAGGAUGUUUUCAUUAAUCAAGAACGAAAGUUAGGGGAUCGAAGACGAUCAGAUACCGUCGUAGUCUUAACCAUAAACUAUGCCGACUAGGAAUCGGGCGACGUUAUUUUCAUGACUCGCUCGGCGCCUUACGGGAAAC
This 547-nucleotide ribosomal RNA is filed under the name uncultured Rhizophagus. Its description in RNAcentral is "SSU rRNA". It matches the Rfam family "Eukaryotic small subunit ribosomal RNA", at positions 548 to 1098 of the family's 1831-position model. Lineage: Eukaryota; Fungi; Glomeromycota; Glomeromycetes; Glomerales; Glomeraceae. The record is from RNAcentral.